GAUGAACGCCGGCGGUGUGCCUAAUACAUGCAAGUCGUACGCACUGGCCCAACUGAUUGAUGGUGCUUGCACCGGAUUGACGUUGGAUCACCAGUGAGUGGCGGACGGGUGAGUAACACGUAGGUAACCUGCCCCGGAGCGGGGGAUAACAUUUGGAAACAGAUGCUAAUACCGCAUAACAACAAAAGCCACAUGGCUUUUGUUUGAAAGAUGGCUUUGGCUAUCACUCUGGGAUGGACCUGCGGUGCAUUAGCUAGUUGGUAAGGUAACGGCUUACCAAGGCGGUGAUGCAUAGCCGAGUUGAGAGACUGAUCGGCCACAAUGGAACUGAGACACGGUCCAUACUCCUACGGGAGGCAGCAGUAGGGAAUCUUCCACAAUGGGCGCAAGCCUGAUGGAGCAACACCGCGUGAGUGAAGAAGGGUUUCGGCUCGUAAAGCUCUGUUGUUGGAGAAGAACGUGCGUGAGAGUAACUGUUCACGCAGUGACGGUAUCCAACCAGAAAGUCACGGCUAACUACGUGCCAGCAGCCGCGGUAAUACGUAGGUGGCAAGCGUUAUCCGGAUUUAUUGGGCGUAAAGCGAGCGCAGGCGGUUGCUUAGGUCUGAUGUGAAAGCCUUCGGCUUAACCGAAGAAGUGCAUCGGAAACCGGGCGACUUGAGUGCAGAAGAGGACAGUGGAACUCCAUGUGUAGCGGUGGAAUGCGUAGAUAUAUGGAAGAACACCAGUGGCGAAGGCGGCUGUCUGGUCUGCAACUGACGCUGAGGCUCGAAAGCAUGGGUAGCGAACAGGAUUAGAUACCCUGGUAGUCCAUGCCGUAAACGAUGAGUGCUAGGUGUUGGAGGGUUUCCGCCCUUCAGUGCCGGAGCUAACGCAUUAAGCACUCCGCCUGGGGAGUACGACCGCAAGGUUGAAACUCAAAGGAAUUGACGGGGGCCCGCACAAGCGGUGGAGCAUGUGGUUUAAUUCGAAGCUACGCGAAGAACCUUACCAGGUCUUGACAUCUUGCGCUAACCUUAGAGAUAAGGCGUUCCCUUCGGGGACGCAAUGACAGGUGGUGCAUGGUCGUCGUCAGCUCGUGUCGUGAGAUGUUGGGUUAAGUCCCGCAACGAGCGCAACCCUUGUUACUAGUUGCCAGCAUUAAGUUGGGCACUCUAGUGAGACUGCCGGUGACAAACCGGAGGAAGGUGGGGACGACGUCAGAUCAUCAUGCCCCUUAUGACCUGGGCUACACACGUGCUACAAUGGACGGUACAACGAGUCGCAGGCUCGCGAGAGUAAGCUAAUCUCUUAAAGCCGUUCUCAGUUCGGACUGUAGGCUGCAACUCGCCUACACGAAGUCGGAAUCGCUAGUAAUCGCGGAUCAGCAUGCCGCGGUGAAUACGUUCCCGGGCCUUGUACACACCGCCCGUCACACCAUGGGAGUUUGUAACGCCCAAAGUCGGUGGCCUAACCUUUAUGGAGGGAGCCGCCUAAGGCGGGACAGAUGACUGGGGUG
RNAcentral lists this ribosomal RNA (1498 nucleotides) under uncultured bacterium. RNAcentral's name for it is "partial 16S ribosomal RNA". It matches the Rfam family "Bacterial small subunit ribosomal RNA". The record is from RNAcentral.